Molecule: unclassified non-coding RNA, 378 nt
Filed under: fungal sp.
Lineage: Eukaryota; Fungi
Description: partial internal transcribed spacer region
Rfam family: Eukaryotic small subunit ribosomal RNA (bases 1-46)
Source: RNAcentral
AAGUCGUAACAAGGUUUCCGUAGGUGAACCUGCGGAAGGAUCAUUAACACGUAUCCAACGUUAAACAACCCCGUGAACUUUCAGCCUGCUCUUGCAUGCCAUGAUGAAACAGCAAUCCCGGUAAAUCAUCGCCAAAACAGUUUUGAUUCGGGACCUCUGUCAAGUGGGGUGCAAUUGAUGCGGUAGAAGCAGUGAAUAACAGCGUCACUGGCUAUGUAAGGAUAACGCCUCACGGUUGCUAGAGGUCGAUCACCGGCCGGCAGACAUGUCACAGGGUCACCACGCCCCUUAAUAACCCCACUUUCAAUGCCCCGCCUAGUGGUAACGCGCUAGGUAACUAAAACCGAACAACUGUUAACAAUGGAUAUCUUGGUUCUC